Non-coding RNA from Pogona vitticeps (central bearded dragon), 668 nucleotides. Lineage: Eukaryota; Metazoa; Chordata; Lepidosauria; Squamata; Agamidae. The record is from RefSeq and is a predicted model, not a curated record.
AAUUCAGACAGGCCCGGUCAAUAAGAGGAACUGAGGAAUCAUAUACUGUAGAGCUCUCUCUUCUUCCGCUGACCGUCCUCCAAGCAAAACCAGGCAGGAUCUUACGCAUGCUGGAGACUCCAUUUUUACCCUUUUUCUUCGGACUGUAACUACAUAUGGUUACUGCUGUGAAGGAACCCAAGAGAAGAGUUAGUCACCCGCCGCCACUUGGGUGGGCCCAUCUUUGUUGAAGAGUCACCACCCAACAGCACUGUCUCGCUGCCGAAUUUCCACCGGUUACAGGAGAUGAAGUCAAUCAUUAAUUCAUUAAUGUGAGUCUGUAUGUGACCUUCUAGGUUAUGUAUUACUGAAGCAACCUUCCUGUGGGAUAAGGGUGGUGCUGCUGGACUUUCCCUAAAUCAUUGUCCAUUGGAUAAACUAUCUCAGCAUUUGCAAGUAUUCAACUAUUUGGGGCCAAUAUCUAUCCCCAGAAGCAACUAGUGGCUGAUACAAUGACUUAAGCAAAAGGGAAACAAUACAAAUACUUAAAUGUCUGGUGGCAUGGGAUGAAUCAGUCCUUUUCCCUACCCAUCUCCAUGGAAUGGGCUCAUGAGAAGCAGAAUGAAGUUAAAUCUGCAAACAGAAAAUCUUUCUCAAAUCAAAAUAUUGCCAUAUAUUGUGGCUUGAAC